GGCUCAGUCCCGUGCGACAAAGAAUUGUGAAUCCCGCCAGGUUCGGAAGAAAGCAACGGUAAGCAAACCUCUUCGUGCGCUGCGGGAGCGCUGGGUCUCC
Molecule: signal recognition particle RNA, 100 nt
Filed under: Synergistaceae bacterium
Lineage: Bacteria; Thermotogati; Synergistota; Synergistia; Synergistales; Synergistaceae
Description: signal recognition particle sRNA small type
Rfam family: Bacterial small signal recognition particle RNA
About the family: The signal recognition particle (SRP) is a universally conserved ribonucleoprotein involved in the co-translational targeting of proteins to membranes.
Source: RNAcentral